GUAGGUGAACCUGCGGAAGGAUCAUUUGCGAUACUCUAAAAAAAUUGGGGAGAAGGAAGAGUUGUAACAAGCUUUUUCUUUUCCUCUAAGAGAUUUUGUGGUCUUUAAACCUUUUUUAUUUUGGUUUUUCCUUUUGUCUUGGAGGACAAAGAGAGAAAGUGAGAGUGGAGAGAGAGAGAGUAACAUCUUUUUCUCUAGGCUAUUUAUUUUCCCUCCCUAACUCCAAGCUCCAGAAGGAAUAUACCAGAAA
Molecule: unclassified non-coding RNA, 250 nt
Filed under: plant metagenome
Description: partial contains small subunit ribosomal RNA, internal transcribed spacer 1, and 5.8S ribosomal RNA
Source: RNAcentral